Molecule: ribosomal RNA, 930 nt
Filed under: Phanocles costaricensis
Lineage: Eukaryota; Metazoa; Arthropoda; Insecta; Phasmatodea; Diapheromeridae
Description: SSU rRNA
Rfam family: Eukaryotic small subunit ribosomal RNA
Source: RNAcentral
GCAGCAGGCGCGCAAAUUACCCACUCCCGGCACGGGGAGGUAGUGACGAAAAAUAACGAUACGGGACUCAUCCGAGGCCCCGUAAUCGGAAUGAGCACACUUUAAAGACUUUAACGAGUAUCCAUUGGAGGGCAAGUCUGGUGCCAGCAGCCGCGGUAAUUCCAGCUCCAAUAGCGUAUAUUAAAGUUGCUGCGGUUAAAAAGCUCGUAGUUGGACUUGUGUCCCGCGCUGUCGGUUCACCGUUNGUCGGUGUCUAACUGGCAUGCCGCGCGGACGUCCUGCUGGUGGAUGCGGUCGGCCGCGGGCUUCUGGCUCGCGCGUCGGCGGUCCGGUGCAAUCCUACCGCGGUGCUCUUCACCGAGUGUCGAGGUGGGCCAGCACGUUUACUUUGAACAAAUUAGAGUGCUUAAAGCAGGCAUGGGUUCGCCUGAAUACUGUGUGCAUGGAAUAAUGGAAUAGGACCUCGGUUCUAUUUCGUUGGUUUCCGGAACCCGAGGUAAUGAUUAAUAGGGACAGACGGGGGCAUUCGUAUUGCGACGUUAGAGGUGAAAUUCUUGGAUCGUCGCAAGACGAACCUAAGCGAAAGCAUUUGCCAUGAGUGUUUUCAUUAAUCAAGAACGAAAGUUAGAGGUUCGAAGGCGAUCAGAUACCGCCCUAGUUCUAACCAUAAACGAUGCCAGCCAGCGAUCCGCCGACGUUCCUAAGAUGACUCGGCGGGCAGCCCCCGGGAAACCAAAGCUUUUGGGUUCCGGGGGAAGUAUGGUUGCAAAGCUGAAACUUAAAGGAAUUGACGGAAGGGCACCACCAGGAGUGGAGCCUGCGGCUUAAUUUGACUCAACACGGGAAACCUCACCAGGCCCGGACACCGGAAGGAUUGACAGAUUGAGAGCUCUUUCUUGAUUCGGUGGGUGGUGGUGCAUGGCCGUUCUU